AGCAUUUUACAGUUGUUAUCACUCUGGUGCAAUGACAUCCUUGCCCACCUAAGCUGCUGAGCUGAAGAGGCCAGGCUGAUGGAAACACAGCGUCUCAGAUGGGCAGGCAGGAAUGGCAUGACCCUGGGGUACUGUACUUGGGUAUUUUAUCACAGCAAUUCGAAUGGAACUAGAACAGGCAACAUCUCUAGAGCAAUACCUCCUCGCCCAGAUCAAUAAGGACUUCUCCCAGAGUGCCUGGUACACAGCUCCAAAAGGGAAAGCGGCCCUGAUGAACUCCACCCCUGGCUUUGUACUAGCUCAUGCUAUCUGUUCCUUUUCCUGCCAGUAAUCUAGCCUUCCUAACAGCAGCUCUGGGUUAUUCUUUGGAGAACUACCUUCUCCAUUACUUUCCUAGAUCCCUGUUGUUUGGGUAGAAUUGACCAUACUACCUCCAGUUCAGAAGGCAGAUCAUAAGAUCAAAGCUUGACUUAAAAAUGCCUUUCAUUUUUUUCUGCCACCAGAGGUUUACGGAUGAACAUGUAGCCCAAACCAGACUUUGAAGAUUAGCCUUGGGAAUUACACUGCACUGACUGGAAAAAAAUAAAAAACCUUCUCUCGGCAGAUUUUUCUGGAAGGUUUCUCUUUUUCCUCUUUCUUUGAAAUAAAAUAUAUUUUUGAGGGCUGUAGAGAUGGCUCAGCUCUUCAGAGUAUUAGCUGCUCUUCCAGAGGCCUCUGCUUCCAGUCUCAGCUCCCUCACAGAAGCUCACAACUGCCCCUGGACCUGAUGCCCCCUUCUGGUUUCCACAGGCAUCAGGCACUCGAGUGGCUCACUGGCAUAUACGCAGGCCAAAUACUCAUAUGCAUAAUAAAAUUAAAUAGAUACACUUGCAA
RNAcentral lists this long non-coding RNA (873 nucleotides) under Mus musculus (house mouse). RNAcentral's name for it is "RIKEN cDNA 4930403D09 gene, transcript variant 2 (4930403D09Rik)". The record is from RNAcentral. Lineage: Eukaryota; Metazoa; Chordata; Mammalia; Rodentia; Muridae.